UGGGGAAUAUUGCGCAAUGGGGGAAACCCUGACGCAGCAACGCCGCGUGAAGGAAGAAGGUCUUCGGAUUGUAAACUUUUGUCUUGUGGGAAGAUGAUGACGGUACCACAGGAGGAAGCCACGGCUAACUACGUGCCAGCAGCCGCGGUAAUACGUAGGUGGCAAGCGUUGUCCGGAAUUACUGGGUGUAAAGGGUGCGUAGGCGGUUUUUCAAGUCAGGUGUGAAAACUAUGGGCUUAACCCAUAGCCUGCAUUUGAAACUGAAAGACUUGAGUGAUGGAGAGGUAAGUGGAAUUCCUAGUGUAGCGGUGAAAUGCGUAGAUAUUAGGAGGAACACCAGUGGCGAAGGCGACUUACUGGACAUUAACUGACGCUGAGGCACGAAAGCAUGGGGAGCAAACA
RNAcentral lists this ribosomal RNA (402 nucleotides) under uncultured Eubacteriales bacterium. Its description in RNAcentral is "uncultured Clostridiales bacterium partial 16S ribosomal RNA". It matches the Rfam family "Bacterial small subunit ribosomal RNA", at positions 355 to 774 of the family's 1533-position model. Lineage: Bacteria; Bacillati; Bacillota; Clostridia; Eubacteriales. The record is from RNAcentral.